AAAAGGCAUUCAUUUCACCUGCUUGCGCAAUCAUAGCCUGGCCACCAUAUUGGAUAAAGAAGGAUUUAGAACAAGAAAAAUCUGUAAUCAUGGCUGCAGCAAUGUUUGUGUAUGGCCGUGUAAAUUUGAGGUUGAACAACCCACACAUGGUAGAAGAAGAAGUUGGCACGUUCUACCUGGCCAACAAAGAGCUGACCAUGUUUGCUGUCCGCCAGGCUAUUGAGAGGAGAGAACCUGACAUCCGGCUAGCCGACCCAAGGGUGGGGCAGGAGUUCCAGGAUGGCUACCUACUGGUUCCUGUGAUCUUCCAUUCAAAGCUGGGCUACCAGUACUUCUCCUGCAUCUCCAAAGGAGACUACCUCAAGGAAAAAAUGAAGGAAGAGUUUGGGAAAAUUGGCUAUAAGGAGCCCUUCAAUGUAGGCGUGGAGAAAUGGGAGUUACCAGAGAGGCCUAAGCCACAGAACAAAGUUGUUAAGUGGCUGACGACCUUGCCCCAACAGAAUAUGAUGUAUGAGCCCAGCCAGACAGCAUCGGUGGCUGACCCAUGGGAUAUCCUGGGCUGUUCUCCAGUCAGAGCUGGAGAUGACAGCAAUACAUCUGCCAUGCUAGCCAACUCUGGGAGGGCAGCUCCACCAGUGGCCACAGUCAACCCAUCUCCUCGUCCUAACAACACUCUGGGACCUUUGGAUAUCGAGUGGGAAGAGGAGGACAACAACAAGGAGACAAACACUGAGUCAACCUACUGAGAAAGACCGGUCCAGGAGUGUCGAAAGCUCUAGCCUAGAAAAGAGGAAGGAGAAGAAGAAGAAUAUUCUCCAAGCAGAGGAUCUGCUUGGAGAUUAGAAGAAGAAGAGGAAGAGACUCACAGCUCAAACAAGUCAGACAUUAGCAGCAGCAUCCAACACAGGAUGCAGGUACAGGAACAAGUAUUUAAGGCUGAGCUACAGGAUGGCCCACUGAAGAUCACAUAAUCCUAUUUUUGUAACCUGGCGACUGACUGUUAGUGUUCACAGUAUUUGCCAAAACUUCAUUACUAACUCUAACAUCCAUUGACACCAACUUUAUCUGAUUUCUCUGAACUGUAACAAUCAUGACAUUCUUUAAUAUUACUGUCACAGUAACAAUGUCUGUGGUGAACAUAAAAUCCAUAAGAAAGUGAAACACUAAGUUACAAGAUAUUCAAUUUGACAACAGAAAUGUUUGUAAAACUUAGUAUACAUUUCAAAUUUUAUUAUAAUGUGUAUAUGAUGUGUCCUAAAGUUUGAAGCUUGCUGUGUGAUAGUCACAUACAUUGGAGCUGUAAUUAGUUAACAUUGUGUGUAAAAGGCUCUUAUGGGUUUGAAAUGUCUGUCAUUUCUUGGUAGAUUCCAUUAGUACACUGUAUGUACAAGUCAUGUAGGUAUACAGCUUUUCUUUUAUUUUACAGGCAUUUGCUUUGCAUUUAUGCCACAAAUAAAA
RNA transcript from Branchiostoma belcheri (Belcher's lancelet), 1458 nucleotides. RefSeq lists it as uncharacterized. NCBI's taxonomy places the organism in Eukaryota, Metazoa, Chordata, Leptocardii, Amphioxiformes, Branchiostomatidae. The record is from RefSeq and is a predicted model, not a curated record. The transcript is spliced from 4 exons.